This 512-nucleotide ribosomal RNA is filed under the name uncultured bacterium. Its description in RNAcentral is "bacterial SSU rRNA". It matches the Rfam family "Bacterial small subunit ribosomal RNA", at positions 777 to 1286 of the family's 1533-position model. The record is from RNAcentral.
AAUAGAUACCCCGGGUAGUCCACGCCGUAAACGAUGAUAACUAGCUGUCCGGGCUCAUGGAGCUUGGGUGGCGCAGCUAACGCAUUAAGUUAUCCGCCUGGGGAGUACGGUCGCAAGAUUAAAACUCAAAGGAAUUGACGGGGGCCUGCACAAGCAGUGGAGCAUGUGGUUUAAUUCGAAGCAACGCGCAGAACCUUACCAGCCUUUGACAUGCCUAGUAUGGUUUCCAGAGAUGGAUUCCUUGUCUUCGGACGCUAGGACACAGGUGCUGCAUGGCUGUCGUCAGCUCGUGUCGUGAGAUGUUGGGUUAAGUCCCGCAACGAGCGCAACCCUCGUCCUUAGUUGCCAUCAUUCAGUUGGGCACUCUAAGGAAACCGCCGGUGAUAAGCCGGAGGAAGGUGGGGAUGACGUCAAGUCCUCAUGGCCCUUACAGGCUGGGGCUACACACGUGCUACAAUGGCGGUGACAGUGGGCAACAAACUCGCGAGAGUGAGCUAAUCUCCAAAAGCCGU